Molecule: non-coding RNA, 64 nt
Filed under: unclassified sequences
Description: S15-Flavobacteria ribosomal protein leader
Rfam family: S15-Flavobacteria ribosomal protein leader
Source: RNAcentral
UAUAUUUGCGCCUCCAAAGCUUAAAUUUUUGGAUACAUAAAAAUUAUUAAUAAAUAUUGGAAUG